Molecule: ribosomal RNA, 468 nt
Filed under: uncultured bacterium
Lineage: Bacteria
Description: partial 16S ribosomal RNA
Rfam family: Bacterial small subunit ribosomal RNA
Source: RNAcentral
GACGAACGCUGGCGGCGUGCUUAACACAUGCAAGUCGAACGGAAAGGCCCUGCUUUUGUGGGGUGCUCGAGUGGCGAACGGGUGAGUAACACGUGAGUAACCUGCCCUUGACUUUGGGAUAACUUCAGGAAACUGGGGCUAAUACCGGAUAGGAGCUCCUGCUGCAUGGUGGGGGUUGGAAAGUUUCGGCGGUUGGGGAUGGACGCGCGGCUUAUCAGCUUGUUGGUGGGGUAGUGGCUUACCAAGGCUGUGACGGGUAGCCGGCCUGGGAGGGUGACCGGCCACAUUGGGACUGAGAUACGGCCCAGACUCCUACGGUAGGCAGAAGUGGGGAAUAUUGCACAAUGGGCGGAAGCCUGAUGCGGCAACGCCGCGUGCGGAAUGACGGCCUUCGGGUUGUAAACCGCUUUCGCCUGUGACGAAGCGUGAGUGACGGUAAUGGGUAAAGAAGCACCGGCUAACUACGUG